This 441-nucleotide long non-coding RNA is filed under the name Musa acuminata (dwarf banana). Its description in RNAcentral is "long non-coding RNA (MACU_LNC006430)". The record is from RNAcentral. Lineage: Eukaryota; Viridiplantae; Streptophyta; Magnoliopsida; Zingiberales; Musaceae.
GCGGCAGCAGCAGCUUUGGGAGGUACGUGGAUCAUGGUGCUCCGCUGUCUUGUGGCGACUUGGUCAUGGUUUCACCGGCGCUACAGGCCACAAGGAGGCGACCAAAGAUGGCAAGGCAAAAGCUAUUCCCUCUCCCUCCACCACCGUCCAAUGGCCACAGGUCAACACAACGUUUGGCCUUCUCGCUUGUCUUCGUACGGAUUGAUUCUUUUGGGUGCUAAAAACAAAUGGCAUUCACGCAGGCCUCCAUUAAGGGAGUACUCGAAGGUUUGUCUUCUUCCCGACGACCGCGUUAAAUUCAAGCUUGGCUGCUUCGGGCUCCAUCUCUUUCACACGAUAAUUCUCUUUGGGUUAAUUACCUAAUGCGACUGCAACUAACAUGAAGGUUUGUCUUCUUCCCGACGACUGCGUUAAAUUCAAGCUUGGCUGCUUCGAACUCCC